AAGCGGCGGACUGCGACAGGUUUCCCGCAAGGGGAUCAAAAGGGAACUUGGGUGGAAAUCCCGGGCUGCCCCUGCAACUGUAAGCGGUGAGCCGACCGGCCAUUUCGCCAUUGGAACAUCCGUUCCGAGAAGGCGCCGGAUAGGCCUUGACCCGUGAGCCAGGAGACCUGCCUGUCGUGGUCGUUCUUC
This 189-nucleotide non-coding RNA is filed under the name Novosphingobium sp. FSW06-99. RNAcentral also lists the same sequence under 1 other name. The record is from RNAcentral. Lineage: Bacteria; Pseudomonadati; Pseudomonadota; Alphaproteobacteria; Sphingomonadales; Sphingomonadaceae.